This 31-nucleotide non-coding RNA is filed under the name Mus musculus (house mouse). Lineage: Eukaryota; Metazoa; Chordata; Mammalia; Rodentia; Muridae. The record is from RNAcentral.
UCUGCGUGGAGAACCAAAUGCGUGCAUGUUU